AGAAGCUUCAGCGAUUGUUCAGUCUGAUUAGCUUGUCCGUACUCCGCAUUAGAGCCAACAAGUAUUCUGCAAGAAACGGUAGAACUUCCUAUCAAUCAAUAAACAGCACAGACUCAGGUGGUCGAAGCCUAGAGAAAGAGAGAUUGAUCUUGCAAAAAAUAACUAUCACACAUGGUAAGAUCCUGCCAUGUUACCAGAAUUUCAUCACACACACAGACACAUGGAGAACAUACAGAUGGUGGAGGCUGGGGGAAGAAUGGAAAGGAAGACACCAAUCCAUUUUUGGAGGAGAGUGCAAGUGCUGCCCUGAGAGAGGGUACGUUGCUGGCUUUUCUGUACAGGAAGAUGUUGAGUGGCCACGAUUUUAAAAAAUUGAGACAAUUUGCCUAGCAAUCAUUCAGUGUAUAAUCUUCUGACUUGGCAUAAGGGUA
Non-coding RNA from Pelodiscus sinensis (Chinese soft-shelled turtle), 431 nucleotides. The record is from RefSeq and is a predicted model, not a curated record. NCBI's taxonomy places the organism in Eukaryota, Metazoa, Chordata, Testudines, Trionychidae.